GCACUGCUGACGAGUCCUAAACAGGAUGACACAGCUGUCCAGUGC
RNAcentral lists this non-coding RNA (45 nucleotides) under Echinostoma caproni. The record is from RNAcentral. Lineage: Eukaryota; Metazoa; Platyhelminthes; Trematoda; Plagiorchiida; Echinostomatidae.